GAGCUAAUAGGAUUGAACAAAGUCACGCACAUGUUAAUCCAUUUGUUUCACUUUGUUAGCAGUCUCAAUUGGUUUCUUGCUGAUCAUUUCAUGAUGGGAUAUAU
Non-coding RNA from Brassica rapa (field mustard), 104 nucleotides. The record is from Rfam. Lineage: Eukaryota; Viridiplantae; Streptophyta; Magnoliopsida; Brassicales; Brassicaceae.